This 88-nucleotide transfer RNA is filed under the name Flavobacterium sp. TAB 87. RNAcentral's name for it is "tRNA-Leu". The record is from RNAcentral. Lineage: Bacteria; Pseudomonadati; Bacteroidota; Flavobacteriia; Flavobacteriales; Flavobacteriaceae.
UUGCACUUGGAUUGGUGAUUAGUUCAAUUUUUUUAAUCGAAGUAGACGGAAUUUGUUUUAGUAAUUGUGCAGCAUCAAUAGUGCUCAC